Molecule: microRNA precursor, 195 nt
Filed under: Oryza nivara
Lineage: Eukaryota; Viridiplantae; Streptophyta; Magnoliopsida; Poales; Poaceae
Description: MIR812 microRNA precursor family
Rfam family: MIR812 microRNA precursor family
Source: Rfam by way of RNAcentral
UUUAGACACAGUUAUUGGUUUUUAUGUCCAACGUUUUAUCGUCGCCUUAUUUAUUUUUUUUAAAUUAGUAUUUUUAUUAUUAUUAGAUGAUAAAACAUAAAUAAUAGCUUCAUACAUGACUAUAUAUAUAUAUAUAUUAAAUAAGACAAACGGUUAAACGUUGGACGUACGUGGAAUCUCGCGACUGUCUUAACA